This 465-nucleotide ribosomal RNA is filed under the name Vreelandella stevensii. RNAcentral's name for it is "partial 16S ribosomal RNA". It matches the Rfam family "Bacterial small subunit ribosomal RNA", at positions 338 to 795 of the family's 1533-position model. Lineage: Bacteria; Pseudomonadati; Pseudomonadota; Gammaproteobacteria; Oceanospirillales; Halomonadaceae. The record is from RNAcentral.
CCUACGGGGGGCUGCAGUGGGGAAUAUUGGACAAUGGGGGCAACCCUGAUCCAGCCAUGCCGCGUGUGUGAAGAAGGCCCUCGGGUUGUAAAGCACUUUCAGUGAGGAAGAACGCCUGGUGGUUAAUACCCAUCAGGAAAGACAUCACUCACAGAAGAAGCACCGGCUAACUCCGUGCCAGCAGCCGCGGUAAUACGGAGGGUGCGAGCGUUAAUCGGAAUUACUGGGCGUAAAGCGCGCGUAGGUGGCUUGAUAAGCCGGUUGUGAAAGCCCCGGGCUCAACCUGGGAACGGCAUCCGGAACUGUCAAGCUAGAGUGCAGGAGAGGAAGGUAGAAUUCCCGGUGUAGCGGUGAAAUGCGUAGAGAUCGGGAGGAAUACCAGUGGCGAAGGCGGCCUUCUGGACUGACACUAACACUGAGGUGCGAAAGCGUGGGUAGCAAACAGGAUUAGAUACCCCAGUAGUC